RNAcentral lists this ribosomal RNA (433 nucleotides) under uncultured bacterium. RNAcentral describes it as "partial 16S ribosomal RNA". It matches the Rfam family "Bacterial small subunit ribosomal RNA", at positions 28 to 507 of the family's 1533-position model. The record is from RNAcentral.
GACGAACGCUGGCGGCAUGCCUAACACAUGCAAGUCGAACGAGACCUUCGGGUCUAGUGGCGCACGGGUGCGUAACGCGUGGGAACCUGCCGUUAGGUUCGGAAUAACUCCCCGAAAGGGGUGCUAAUACCGGAUAAUGUCUUCGGACCAAAGAUUUAUCGCCUUUGGAUGGGCCCGCGUUGGAUUAGCUAGUUGGUAGGGUAAAAGCCUACCAAGGCGACGAUCCAUAGCUGGUCUGAGAGGAUGAUCAGCCACACUGGGACUGAGACACGGCCCAGACUCCUACGGGAGGCAGCAGUGGGGAAUAUUGGACAAUGGGCGAAAGCCUGAUCCAGCAAUGCCGCGUGAGUGAUGAAGGCCUUAGGGUUGUAAAGCUCUUUUACCCGGGAUGAUAAUGACAGUACCGGGAGAAUAAGCUCCGGCUAACUCCGUG